CCUACGGGAGGCAGCAGUAGGGAAUAUUGCUCAAUGGGGGAAACCCUGAAGCAGCAACGCCGCGUGGAGGAUGAAGGUUUUCGGAUUGUAAACUCCUUUUGUUAGAGAAGAUAAUGACGGUAUCUAACGAAUAAGCACCGGCUAACUCCGUGCCAGCAGCCGCGGUAAUACGUAGGGUGCAAGCGUUACUCGGAAUCACUGGGCGUAAAGAGGGAGUAGGCGGGAUAGCAAGUCAGAUGUGAAAUCCUAUGGCUUAACCAUAGAACUGCAUUUGAAACUGUUAUUCUAGAGUAUGGGAGAGGUAGGUGGAAUGCUUGGUGUAGGGGUAAAAUCCGUAGAGAUCAAGAGGAAUACUGAUUGCGAAGGCGACCUGCUAGAACAUAACUGACGCUGAUGCGCGAAAGCGUGGGGAGCAAACAGGAUUAGAUACCCCAGUAGUC
Molecule: ribosomal RNA, 440 nt
Filed under: uncultured bacterium
Lineage: Bacteria
Description: partial 16S ribosomal RNA
Rfam family: Bacterial small subunit ribosomal RNA
Source: RNAcentral